This is a long non-coding RNA of Lagenorhynchus albirostris (white-beaked dolphin), 1324 nucleotides long. RefSeq lists it as uncharacterized. Lineage: Eukaryota; Metazoa; Chordata; Mammalia; Artiodactyla; Delphinidae. The transcript has 7 exons. The record is from RefSeq and is a predicted model, not a curated record.
CCAGCUUUCCCCACAACUAUCAAUACACUGGUGCUCCGUCAGUGGGUCCAUGUACGGCGCGGCCGUAGUGGCAGCGAUGGAAGUCCUGCAUCUCCUCCACGUGGUGACACGGACUUCUCCUCCCUGCGGGUGACCUGGUGGCGAGUGCCUGACCUGCCAACAGCAGAAACAUGUGGAGCCCUGGACGUGACAUCACUCCUGAAGGCCACCUGCAGGUUACAGAAGUUCAAGUGGGAUUGUGACUGAGCUAGAAGAGUUCAUGAAAAUCUGAGAUAGGGAGAGGACAGCUCACUGUACACAAGGCUGCUCUGAACGUUCCUGUGUAUGUUCCUGAACACACGCGAGGGAGGUUUUUCUGGAAGCACUGGCGCUGGCCCCAGCUCUCUGAGGUAUUUCCAGAUUGCUUUCCAAGGAGGUUUCCCGAUGGGCCCACCGCAUCUUCAAUAACGUUUGGGACAUUUUGAUGGAUACGCAGGCAGGGGUGGACAGAUGUCGCACCCAGAAAAGCUAACCUCGCCGGGGGUAACCGUGCCCUCUUGGCUCCUGAAGUGUGAAGGAUACAGUCUCUUCGUCCUGGAAGACAGUGGAAGCCGUGGCGCUUUGUGGCAAGCUGAGAAACAUGACAGCCGAGGACAUGGAAUUAAUGGAAGUCAUAAAGUUUUACCUCCACGACAUGUGCUCUUGAGAUCAUGAAGCUGUAGUCAACGACAAGCAGCGACUGACUGCAAGCACGGGAUGCAGAACCCCUGUCUAACCACAAGGAGAACAUCCAACAAACCCAACUAGAAGAACAUUCCUUAGAAUACUGGACCUGUGCUCCUCAAAACUGCCAAGAUCAUCAAAAACAAGGAGAGUCCGAUGAGUCAAGAGGAAUCUAAGGAGACAGGAUUAAGUGUGAUGCGGCGUCCUGGAUGAGAUCCUGGAGCAGAAGGAGAGUGGGCGUUAGGUAAAAACUGAAGACAUCUGAAUAAAAUCUGGACUUCAGUUAGUGAUGUAACGAUACUGGUUCAUUCACUGUGACAAAUGUUAAUAAUUCUGUACACCGGGUAUGGGCACGUGGGGCUGUGGACUAUCUUUGCACCUUUUCUGGAAAUUCAAAAUUGUUCUAAAAUGAAAAGCUUAUUUAAAAACUAAAAAGCAAGAAUACUGCUGAUCAGUUCUCUUUCCCAAACCUGGAAAUUCAUCUGCAUCCUCCUUUCCUUGGUUCCCAGGCCUCUGAGAGCUCUGGCUGGCUCUGGACACUCCUUUCCUUCCAGAAUUUCCCCUGCAGCCUUGGACUCCGCAGUAGCUCCUGUUUGACUGUAAAUGACUUUUGUUGGGUGAA